Molecule: ribosomal RNA, 429 nt
Filed under: Gemmatimonadota bacterium
Lineage: Bacteria; Pseudomonadati; Gemmatimonadota
Description: Gemmatimonadetes bacterium partial 16S ribosomal RNA
Rfam family: Bacterial small subunit ribosomal RNA
Source: RNAcentral
UAGGGAAUCUUCGGCAAUGGACGAAAGUCUGACCGAGCAACGCCGCGUGAGUGAAGAAGGUUUUCGGAUCGUAAAACUCUGUUGUUAGAGAAGAACAAGGACGUUAGUAACUGAACGUCCCCUGACGGUAUCUAACCAGAAAGCCACGGCUAACUACGUGCCAGCAGCCGCGGUAAUACGUAGGUGGCAGGCGUUGUCCGGAUUUAUUGGGCUUAAAUCGAGCGCAGGCGGUUUCUUAAGUCUGAUGUGAAAGCCCCCGGCUCAACCGGGAAGGGUCAUUGGAACCUGGGAGACUUAAGUGCAGAAGAGGUGAGUGGAAUUCCGGUUGUAGCGGUAAAAUGCGUAGAUAUAUGGAGGCACACCAGUGGCGAAGGCGGCUCUCUGGUCUGUAACUACCGCUGAGGCUCGAAAGCGUGGGGAGCAAACAGG